RNAcentral lists this ribosomal RNA (459 nucleotides) under uncultured bacterium. Its description in RNAcentral is "partial 16S ribosomal RNA". It matches the Rfam family "Bacterial small subunit ribosomal RNA", at positions 338 to 795 of the family's 1533-position model. The record is from RNAcentral.
CCUACGGGUGGCUGCAGUGAGGAAUAUUGGUCAAUGGACGAGAGUCUGAACCAGCCAAGUAGCGUGAAGGAUGACUGCCCUAUGGGUUGUAAACUUCUUUUGUCAGGGAGCAAAGGGCGCCACGUGUGGCGUUUUGCGAGUACCUGAAGAAAAAGCAUCGGCUAACUCCGUGCCAGCAGCCGCGGUAAUACGGAGGAUGCGAGCGUUAUCCGGAUUUAUUGGGUUUAAAGGGUGCGCAGGCGGAAUGUCAAGUCAGCGGUAAAAUUUCGGGGCUCAACCCCGUCGUGCCGUUGAAACUGGCGUUCUUGAGUGAGCGAGAAGUAUGCGGAAUGCGUGGUGUAGCGGUGAAAUGCAUAGAUAUCACGCAGAACUCCGAUUGCGAAGGCAGCAUACCGGCGCUCAACUGACGCUCAUGCACGAAAGCGUGGGUAUCGAACAGGAUUAGAUACCCGAGUAGUC